RNAcentral lists this ribosomal RNA (467 nucleotides) under uncultured bacterium. Its description in RNAcentral is "partial 16S ribosomal RNA". It matches the Rfam family "Bacterial small subunit ribosomal RNA", at positions 28 to 507 of the family's 1533-position model. The record is from RNAcentral.
GAUGAACGCUGGCGGCGUGCUUAACACAUGCAAGUCGAACGGAAAGGCCCAAGCUUGCUUGGGUACUCGAGUGGCGAACGGGUGAGUAACACGUGGGUGAUCUGCCCUGCACUUCGGGAUAAGCCUGGGAAACUGGGUCUAAUACCGGAUAGGACCACUUCUUGGAUGUUGUGGUGGAAAGUUUUUUCGGUGUGGGAUGAGCUCGCGGCCUAUCAGCUUGUUGGUGGGGUAAUGGCCUACCAAGGCGUCGACGGGUAGCCGGCCUGAGAGGGUGUACGGCCACAUUGGGACUGAGAUACGGCCCAGACUCCUACGGGAGGCAGCAGUGGGGAAUAUUGCACAAUGGGCGCAAGCCUGAUGCAGCGACGCCGCGUGGGGGAUGACGGCCUUCGGGUUGUAAACUCCUUUCGCUAGGGACGAAGCGUUUUGUGACGGUACCUGGAGAAGAAGCUCCGGCUAACUACGUG